This 1381-nucleotide ribosomal RNA is filed under the name Cellulosimicrobium cellulans. RNAcentral's name for it is "16S ribosomal RNA". It matches the Rfam family "Bacterial small subunit ribosomal RNA". The record is from RNAcentral. Lineage: Bacteria; Bacillati; Actinomycetota; Actinomycetes; Micrococcales; Promicromonosporaceae.
CAUGCAAGUCGAACGGUGAAGCAGAGCUUGCUCUGUGGAUCAGUGGCGAACGGGUGAGUAACACGUGAGCAAUCUGCCCCUGACUCUGGGAUAAGCGCUGGAAACGGCGUCUAAUACCGGAUACGAGCUGCGACCGCAUGGUCAGUAGCUGGAAAGAAUUUCGGUCAGGGAUGAGCUCGCGGCCUAUCAGCUUGUUGGUGAGGUAAUGGCUCACCAAGGCGUCGACGGGUAGCCGGCCUGAGAGGGUGACCGGCCACACUGGGACUGAGACACGGCCCAGACUCCUACGGGAGGCAGCAGUGGGGAAUAUUGCACAAUGGGCGAAAGCCUGAUGCAGCAACGCCGCGUGAGGGAUGACGGCCUUCGGGUUGUAAACCUCUUUUAGCAGGGAAGAAGCGAAAGUGACGGUACCUGCAGAAAAAGCGCCGGCUAACUACGUGCCAGCAGCCGCGGUAAUACGUAGGGCGCAAGCGUUAUCCGGAAUUAUUGGGCGUAAAGAGCUCGUAGGCGGUCUGUCGCGUCUGCUGUGAAAACCCGAGGCUCAACCUCGGGCCUGCAGUGGGUACGGGCAGACUAGAGUGCGGUAGGGGAGAUUGGAAUUCCUGGUGUAGCGGUGGAAUGCGCAGAUAUCAGGAGGAACACCGAUGGCGAAGGCAGAUCUCUGGGCCGUAACUGACGCUGAGGAGCGAAAGGGUGGGGAGCAAACAGGCUUAGAUACCCUGGUAGUCCACCCCGUAAACGUUGGGAACUAGUUGUGGGGUCCAUUCCACGGAUUCCGUGACGCAGCUAACGCAUUAAGUUCCCCGCCUGGGGAGUACGGCCGCAAGGCUAAAACUCAAAGGAAUUGACGGGGACCCGCACAAGCGGCGGAGCAUGCGGAUUAAUUCGAUGCAACGCGAAGAACCUUACCAAGGCUUGACAUAUAGAGGAAACGUCUGGAAACAGUCGCCCCGCAAGGUCUCUAUACAGGUGGUGCAUGGUUGUCGUCAGCUCGUGUCGUGAGAUGUUGGGUUAAGUCCCGCAACGAGCGCAACCCUCGUUCUAUGUUGCCAGCACGUAAUGGUGGGAACUCAUGGGAUACUGCCGGGGUCAACUCGGAGGAAGGUGGGGAUGACGUCAAAUCAUCAUGCCCCUUAUGUCUUGGGCUUCACGCAUGCUACAAUGGCCGGUACAAAGGGCUGCAAUACCGUGAGGUGGAGCGAAUCCCAAAAAGCCGGUCCCAGUUCGGAUUGAGGUCUGCAACUCGACCUCAUGAAGUCGGAGUCGCUAGUAAUCGCAGAUCAGCAACGCUGCGGUGAAUACGUUCCCGGGUCUUGUACACACCGCCCGUCAAGUCAUGAAAGUCGGUAACACCUGAAGCCGGUGGCCCAACCCUUGUGGA